This 421-nucleotide ribosomal RNA is filed under the name uncultured Roseburia sp. RNAcentral describes it as "bacterial SSU rRNA". It matches the Rfam family "Bacterial small subunit ribosomal RNA", at positions 356 to 792 of the family's 1533-position model. The record is from RNAcentral. Lineage: Bacteria; Bacillati; Bacillota; Clostridia; Lachnospirales; Lachnospiraceae.
GGGGAAUAUUGCACAAUGGGGGAAACCCGUAGAUGCAGCGACGCCGCGUGAGCGAAGAAGUAUUUCGGUAUGUAAAGCUCUAUCAGCAGGGAAGAAAACGACGGUACCUGACUAAGAAGCACCGGCUAAAUACGUGCCAGCAGCCGCGGUAAUACGUAUGGUGCAAGCGUUAUCCGGAUUUACUGGGUGUAAAGGGAGCGCAGGCGGUGCGGCAAGUCUGAUGUGAAAGCCCGGGGCUCAACCCCGGUACUGCAUUGGAAACUGUCGGACUAGAGUGUCGGAGGGGUAAGUGGAAUUCCUAGUGUAGCGGUGGAAUGCGUAGAUAUCGGGAGGAACACCAGUGGCGAAGGCGACCUACUGGGCACCAACUGACGCUGAGGCUCGAAAGCAUGGGUAGCAAACAGGAUUAGAUACCCUGGUA